This 279-nucleotide ribosomal RNA is filed under the name uncultured bacterium. Its description in RNAcentral is "partial 16S ribosomal RNA". It matches the Rfam family "Bacterial small subunit ribosomal RNA", at positions 506 to 784 of the family's 1533-position model. The record is from RNAcentral.
UGCCAGCAGCCGCGGUAAUACGAGUGGGGCGAGCGUUAUUCGGAUUUACUGGGUGUAAAGGGCGUGUAGGUGGUUAGGUGUGUUAGAUGUGAAAUCCCUCGGCUCACCCGAGGAACUGCAUCUAAAGCUACUUGACUUGAGUGUUGGAGAGGAAGGCGGAAUUCCUGGUGUAGCGGUGAAAUGCGUAGAUAUCAGGAGGAACGCCGGUGGCGAAAGCGGCUUUCUGGCCAAACACUGACACUGAGGCGCGAAAGCCAGGGGAGCGAACGGGAUUAGAUA